GACGAACGCUGGCGGCGUGCCUAAUACAUGCAAGUCGAACGCUGAAGGAGGAGCUUGCUUCUCUGGAUGAGUUGCGAACGGGUGAGUAACGCGUAGGUAACCUGCCUGGUAGCGGGGGAUAACUAUUGGAAACGAUAGCUAAUACCGCAUAAGAGUAGAUGUUGCAUGACAUUUGCUUAAAAGGUGCAAUUGCAUCACUACCAGAUGGCCCUGCGUUGUAUUAGCUAGUUGGUGGGGUAACGGCUCACCAAGGCGACGAUACAUAGCCGACCUGAGAGGGUGAUCGGCCACACUGGGACUGAGACACGGCCCAGACUCCUACGGGAGGCAGCAGUAGGGAAUCUUCGGCAAUGGACGGAAGUCUGACCGAGCAACGCCGCGUGAGUGAAGAAGGGUGUCGGACCGUAAAGCUCUGUUGUAAGAGAAGAACGAGUGUGAGAGUGGAAAGUUCACACUGUGACGGUAGCUUAACAGAAAGGGACGGCUAACUACGUG
This 495-nucleotide ribosomal RNA is filed under the name uncultured bacterium. RNAcentral describes it as "partial 16S ribosomal RNA". It matches the Rfam family "Bacterial small subunit ribosomal RNA", at positions 28 to 507 of the family's 1533-position model. The record is from RNAcentral.